GACCAGACUCCUACGGGAGGCAGCAGUGAGGAAUAUUGGUCAAUGGGCGGGAGCCUGAACCAGCCAAGUCGCGUGAGGGAAGACGGUCCUAUGGAUUGUAAACCUCUUUAGGCGGGGAGCAAUGCCGGGCACGCGUGCCCGGAGGGAGAGUACCCGCAGAAUAAGCAUCGGCUAACUCCGUGCCAGCAGCCGCGGUAAUACGGAGGAUGCGAGCGUUAUCCGGAUUUAUUGGGUUUAAAGGGUGCGUAGGCGGAAGGUUAAGUCAGCGGUCAAAUGUCGGUGCUCAACACCGGCCUGCCGUUGAAACUGGUCUUCUUGAGUGAGCGAGAAGUAUGCGGAAUGCGUGGUGUAGCGGUGAAAUGCAUAGAUAUCACGCAGAACUCCGAUUGCGAAGGCAGCAUACCGGCGCUCAACUGACGCUGAGGCACGAAAGCGUGGGGAUCGAACAGGAUUAGAUACCCGUGUA
RNAcentral lists this ribosomal RNA (466 nucleotides) under uncultured bacterium. RNAcentral's name for it is "bacterial SSU rRNA". It matches the Rfam family "Bacterial small subunit ribosomal RNA", at positions 329 to 792 of the family's 1533-position model. The record is from RNAcentral.